RNAcentral lists this transfer RNA (77 nucleotides) under Patescibacteria group bacterium. RNAcentral describes it as "tRNA-Val". It matches the Rfam family "tRNA". From Rfam's summary of the family: Transfer RNA (tRNA) molecules are approximately 80 nucleotides in length. Their secondary structure includes four short double-helical elements and three loops (D, anti-codon, and T loops). The record is from RNAcentral.
GGGCCCUUAGCUCAGCUGGCUAGAGCGCUUCAUUGACGUUGAAGAGGUCACAGGUUCGAGUCCUGUAGGGCCCACCA